RNAcentral lists this long non-coding RNA (447 nucleotides) under Manihot esculenta (cassava). RNAcentral describes it as "long non-coding RNA (MESC_LNC002283)". The record is from RNAcentral. Lineage: Eukaryota; Viridiplantae; Streptophyta; Magnoliopsida; Malpighiales; Euphorbiaceae.
CACGAUCAACAUGCCCAAUAUUGAAGCCCCGGUCGGCGUGCAUCAGCGAGGCGUGCUGUCCUUGCGCUCUCGUCAUGCGAUGGCCGACUGUGAGGUCUCCAUGGCGUGGCUGAAGCAACGCACAGGCAGGCAUUGGUCUGCAGGUGGAGAAGGCCGAAGCAAUUCCUCGCGAUGGCGUCGAUCUUCGGCUCGUCGGCACUGGUUCGCUAUGUCGGAAAACACGCAACUGUUGCGCGUUGAGCUAGUGGCGGAGCAGGUAGUCGGGUGGUCAGCUGUGUAGAAAAGUGAGGGGCGCUGGCUAGGGCAUCUUCCUAGGGAGAAGAUGAAGUCAAAUUACAUUUUGGUCCCUGUAACUUUUUAAAAUUUUUGAAAGUUGUCUUUUUAGCUGAAAAUUUUAAUAAUUUUUUGGGUCUAUAAAUUAAAUGGCUAUUUAAUUUAAAAUAGUCA